AACCUCGUAGUAUAGUAUAUAGUACGCCGAUUACUUUACCGGAGGCGCAGGUUCGAAUCCUACCGAGGUUU
Podospora bellae-mahoneyi is the source of this 71-nucleotide non-coding RNA. NCBI's taxonomy places the organism in Eukaryota, Fungi, Ascomycota, Sordariomycetes, Sordariales, Podosporaceae. The record is from the annotation of a RefSeq genome assembly.